RNAcentral lists this ribosomal RNA (494 nucleotides) under uncultured bacterium. RNAcentral describes it as "bacterial SSU rRNA". It matches the Rfam family "Bacterial small subunit ribosomal RNA", at positions 29 to 516 of the family's 1533-position model. The record is from RNAcentral.
AUUGAACGCUGGCGGCAUGCCUUACACAUGCAAGUCGAACGGCAGCACGGGGGCAACCCUGGUGGCGAGUGGCGAACGGGUGAGUAAUACAUCGGAACGUACCUUAUCGUGGGGGAUAACGCAGCGAAAGCUGUGCUAAUACCGCAUACGCCCUGAGGGGGAAAGCGGGGGAUCGAAAGACCUCGCGCGAUUAGAGCGGCCGAUGCCUGAUUAGCUUGUUGGUGGGGUAAAAGCCCACCAAGGCGACGAUCAGUAGCUGGUCUGAGAGGACGAUCAGCCACACUGGGACUGAGACACGGCCCAGACUCCUACGGGAGGCAGCAGUGGGGAAUUUUGGACAAUGGGGGGAAACCCUGAUCCAGCAAUGCCGCGUGGGUGAAGAAGGCCUGCGGGUUGUAAAGCCCUUUAAGCGGGGAGGAAAGCCGGGGUGUGAAUAGCGCCUCGGGGUGACGUUACCCGCAGAAUAAGCACCGGCUAACUCCGUGCCAGCAGCC